UCGUUUCUAUCACAUGGUAAUCGAGGAGCUUGUAUCCCGACCUUAUUCGGGUGAGAACUCAUUCGAGUUAUUCAUUAUUAUCAUUUCUCACUAGAAUCUUCUCUCCUCUGUCUUCACUCUCUCUGUGAUAGUUCUUUGUCUUUCUUCUCCUCCUUCAUCACUUCAAUCAUGUGUGUGGCAUGCUAAGUUCUUACGGUGAUGACCUUCUGGUUAUUGAAAUCGUGUUCGAUGGCUAGGUUAGGGUUUGUGGUGGUUUGUGAAGAUGGUUUGUGUCUUCUUCUUUCUCACUUGCAAUUGCUCGGUAAAGGAUAACAGUCUUUUGUAGAUCUGUGGUUGUGUUGUGUCUAAGCCUUCGUUAUGAAAUCUGUACACUUUUAGGUAGUAGUACUUCUUUACAUUUUUGGUUUUGUAAUAAUUUAGAUCUAGUCUUAUCUUGUAUAGAUCUGAGGUUUUAAUAUUUUUCUUUCGGAAUAUUUGAUAUUAGUUUGUGUU
This is a long non-coding RNA of Salvia splendens (bonfire salvia), 492 nucleotides long. RefSeq lists it as uncharacterized. The transcript has 2 exons. The record is from RefSeq and is a predicted model, not a curated record. NCBI's taxonomy places the organism in Eukaryota, Viridiplantae, Streptophyta, Magnoliopsida, Lamiales, Lamiaceae.